Molecule: transfer RNA, 68 nt
Filed under: Ascarosepion mestus
Lineage: Eukaryota; Metazoa; Mollusca; Cephalopoda; Sepiida; Sepiidae
Description: tRNA-Asp
Source: RNAcentral
AAAAAAUUAGUUAAUAACAUAACAUAAAAUUGUCAAUUUUAAGUUACUAUUUUAAAUAGUAUUUUUUU